This 753-nucleotide ribosomal RNA is filed under the name uncultured bacterium. RNAcentral describes it as "bacterial SSU rRNA". It matches the Rfam family "Bacterial small subunit ribosomal RNA", at positions 8 to 796 of the family's 1533-position model. The record is from RNAcentral.
AGAGUUUGAUCAUGGCUCAGAAUCAACGCUGGCGGCGCGUUAACACAUGCAAGUCGCACGAGAAAGGGAGCAAUCCUGAGUAAAGUGGCGUACGGGUGAGUAACACGUGGAUCAUCUACCUUUUAGUGGGGAAUACCCCCGGGAAACUGGGGACAAUACCGCAUAAUCUCGCAAGAGGAAAGCAGCAAUGCGCUGAAAGAGGAGUCCGCGGCCGAUUAGCUAGAUGGCGGGGUAAUGGCCCACCAUGGCAAAGAUCGGUAGCCGGCCUGAGAGGGCUCUCGGCCACACUGGCACUGAAACACGGGCCAGACUCCUACGGGAGGCAGCAGUGGGGAAUCUUGCACAAUGGGGGAAACCCUGAUGCAGCGACGCCGCGUGAGUGAUGAAGCCCUUCGGGGUGUAAAGCUCUUUCGACAGGAACGAUAAUGACGGUACCUGAAGAAGAAGCUGCGGCUAACUACGUGCCAGCAGCCGCGGUAAUACGUAGGCAGCGAGCGUUGUUCGGAAUUACUGGGCGUAAAGAGUGUGUAGGUGGUGCUCUAAGUUUGGUGUGAAAUCUCCCGGCUCAACCGGGAGGGUGCAUCGAAAACUGGAGUGCUAGAGGAUGGGAGAGGCAAGCGGAAUUCCUGGUGUAGCGGUGAAAUGCGUAGAUAUCAGGAGGNNNNCCUGUGGUGUAGACAGCUUGCUGGACCAUUUCUGACACUGAGACACGAAAGCGUGGGUAGCAAACAGGAUUAGAUACCCUAGUAGUCC